GAUCGAGGAAAGCGCAAUCGAUCAAAGUCGAGAGGUGAAGGUUUUAGGGCUGCGAAAGCUUAGUGAUGUGAUCGACAUCAUCGUGAGGCAAUCGGCUUCGGAUUGGCUCCGCCACCUGCGUGAACAUCACGGCAGCUUUGAAUAUCUGUAAGUGUAUGUUUUGGCUAUGAAUUAUGUUGGAUAUGAGCAUAGCAAUUUGCACUCGAAGUCUUGAACACUAUCAAAUUUUCCCCUUUCUUCCUGUUCGUAUCAAAUUGAGAACUGUAAGGUUGAAUUUAUUAUAGUACUUUUAGAUUACGAUUAAUCACCUCUUCAUUCUCUUUCACUCGGUUCUUUUUUGAUUCAUUCAUAUAAAUUCUCAGUUUGUUAUUUAGGCACACCAAUCCUCAUGAGAGCCAAAUACGCAACAACCCGAUAUAACACCAGCAUCAGUGCCAAAGCCACAACCGAUAGCACUUGCCCAUCAAGCCCAACGCUCUUAAUAGCCGGAAAAUCCUCAACCAAACACGUCAAGUUACCACAUUUGUAAGUCUGCCCAUGCUCAUAUUGUGAAGCUAUCAACAACUUGUAAGUAUGUUGACUGAUGGAUAUGUAUUUGAUCCAAGAUAUGAAAUCAGGCACAUGUUGAACAUAGUAUCCACCUGCUAGUGUGAAUGAUAACAUGAUCACAGAUCCCAUAAUGGUGGCUGAUUUUUGGUUCAUAACUAGUGCUCCUACGGCUAACCCUAGCCCUUGUGAUGCCAACACGCUAAAAAGAAGUGUGAAUAGCGCAUACAAAAAACUUCCAAAAUCUGAUUUGAGCCCAGCCAUCCAGUAGGUUAUGAUGCAAAACAAUGUUGGUAGAACUAACUCCAUAGGAAGAUCUCCUAUUGUUCUUGAUAUAAAAUAAGAUGAAAGUCUAUACAUUCCUGAAGAUCGUUCUUUUCCUAGCAUUUGCCUUUCUUGAGGGAAUGUGAAAAUUGCUUGAAAUAAAGGAAAGAACCCCCAGAAUCCAGUGUAAAAGAAGAGCAAUCCUGACUGCAUAGUUUUCGAUUAAGAAACAUGUUAGAUUAUUAUUAUUAUUAUUAUUAUUAUUAUUAUUAUUAUUAUUUAUAAGUUAAAAGUGAUGACAAACAAGAGUAUAUAUUUAUAUUUUAUACCUGAUCUUGUAAGUGAGCCUUAUCAGAUUGCCACCAUAGCAAACCACAAAGGAAUGACACAGCUAUAACCUGACCGAUCUUGAGAGUGGAAAAGAAUUCAUGUUUCCUUUCUUUAACACCUCUUUUGAGUAAAACCAUGACUUGUUGCAACCAAGUCGUGCUCCAUCGUUCAUGCUUCUUGUUGUCUAAAACAUCGUUCUCAUCAUCAUUGAAUUCUACUACUUCAGCUUUUAAUUUCUCAUCAAGAUUCGACUUAUAAGCCAAAACCAACUUCUGCUUCACCGCAUUUUGAUCCCCAUAACUUGAAUUAUCCGGCGAUAUCCCUAAAAUAUUAACAACAUUUGUAGUAACUAUGCAAAUUCUUUAAAAAAAAAAAAAAAAAAAAAAAAAAAAAGGAAAUGUGUAUGUUCAACACCAAUGGUCAAGAGACAGUUACGUUCAGAACAUGAACUUGCCAGGUUCUGAACCUGAACUAAAAUGUCAUGACUAAAAUGUCAUGUCAGGUUCAGAACCUGGCAACCUGCCAGUAGAACUUGAACAAUAUUUUCAAUUUUUAUACCAUUUGCAAGAUCUAGCAAAAAGUCGGAAGGAUUCAUGGUGACCGAUGGCGAAAAUCCAAUAGUGUUAAAAUAAUCCAUAACUUCCGAUCCUUUACCAAAAAACAACGAAUUCCCUUCCGAUAACAACACCACCUUAUGAAACAUGUAAAAAAGCCUACUUGAAGGUUGAUGAAUCGUCAUAACAAUUGUUCUUCCACCUCUUGCUAAUUCCCAUAAAGUCAAAGCAAUCCUUUGAGCAGUUGUUGAAUCAAGCCCAGAUGUCGGCUCAUCCAAGAACAACAAACUAGGGUUUAUAAGCAUUUCUUGCCCGAUACUAACUCUUUUUCUCUCUCCACCCGACACCCCUCUUAAAUUCGGCCCACCGAUGAUAAUAUUCUUGCAUCUUGUUAACCUAAGUUGGUCGAUCACCGCUUCCGCAUGCGUGAUCUUUUCUUGAGUUGUGAGCUUUUUAGGCAAGCGGAGUAAGGCGGUGAAAACAAGGGUUUCGGUGACUGUUAAAUGAGGAUAUAGAAUGUCAUCUUGAGUGACAAAACCGGUGUACCGCUUCAUGAUACUUGAAAACGGUUUGCCAUUGUAGGUGAUGGUCCCGUCUAGCUUGCCACCUAGGCGGCCACCUAAUGCGGUUAAAAGGGUAGUUUUUCCACAUCCGGAUGGCCCUAACAUGGCUAACAUUUCUCCGGGCAACACCAUGCCGGUUAUUCCUUUGAGUAUCUGUUUCUCUGUAGGCUCGUGGUUUUUCUUUCUUUUUAUCCAUCCUUGUUUCUUGUUUUUGAUGGUGUAAACCACUUCUUGAAACUGUUCAAUUAAAUAAUCGGAAUAAUAAGUUUAUAACAUAUAAACACUUUUUUUUUCGAAAAAGGAUGAAAAAUGAACCUUUAGUGUAACCGGAUGAUCGACUUUGUUGAAGAUUGAUGGAGGGGAUGAGGUUUGAGCUGAUGAUUGAGCCUCUAUAUCUACCAUUUGGGUUGCCAUUUGAAUAUUUUUUUUCCUAAUUCUGAUUUACAAAUAAAAAAAUGGUAUAUGUUGUUAUUUACAUACAUACAUACAUGUGAUUCGUUAAUUGUAUGUUGGUGUAUUAUAUAGUAAGAGAACCGAAUUAAGGUGAAAUAAAAGUCAUGCAAUAGAGGUGUGCGGGUUUAUGGCACAUACCCUUGAUUUGGUGUAAGAGAAUAGAGAUGGAGAAGGAAGUCAUGCAAUAGACAUGUGCGUUUAUGAUGUGUUCCCAUGUAUUUGGGAUGAUUUGGUGUGAUAGUUUGUGUUGGGUGAAAUAUUUGUUUGUGUAAACAAAAUGUUUUUUUUUUGAAAGAGAAUGUUUGUUUGUAUUUGAUUCAGCAAUGUUUUUUUUUUAAAUGACAUUCAGUGUCACGUUUUUGUUAUGAUCAAAUGUGUAACAUUUUAUUUGUAACUUGUUUAACGGAUUGAAAUAUGAAUGAAUAUUCUGUUAAGGUAAGUUGCAUAAAUUGGGAAAAGAUAAAAACGAAAUAUGAUUGCAUAAAUUAUUGGUUAACAAAGUGAAAGAUUGUUGUUGUGUAAGUAUUUGAAAAUGGUAAACCGUGUCCAUGUCACAAGACCCAUCACAUUGGGUGUAAAUCAUAGAACAAAAUUAGCAAUACUUUGCCUUUGGGUAUGUACAACUUUGAAUCAUGGACCUCCUUUAUAGAAUUUCACAUGUAUACUCCAGUUCUCAUCUCAGCUCAGGGGUAAAAUUAAAAUCAUCUUGUCGUUAUUGUGGUUUUUUUAGAACUUAUCUUUUUAUGUUCCAAAUUUUUAUGAUAGUUUUGGAUUUUAAUGUGUUUAGGCUCUAGUUAUUGAUCUUCUGGAUGGUGCUCAAGAAAGAGUUACUAAUUCAUUGUCAUUGCUGAUGCCAUUCUGAUUGAUGUUUCAAGCUAGUAAAGUUCAUUGCUAAAUUUGGUGAUUAGUCAUUGUUCAUUUCUAUUCUUGGUAUGUUGUUUUUUGUUUGGAUUUUAUUGGUAUAAAUCUCAAAAUCCUGCUAAUUGUCUUCUAAUGGUGCUUUGUAUUAGUUCUUUUUUAUUUUAUUUUUAAAUAUUUAAUAUAUUAAUAAGUAAUAAAAAAAUUAUAUAUAAUAUAUGUGAUGCGGUGCAGUUUUUAUUUUUAUUUAUUUAUUUUUUUUGCGGUUUUUGAAAACUAAAAGCUGUACCGCACUGCAAGUUUGUAGUUUUUGAAAAACAGAAAAUCUCACCAUCGUUUCCGUUGCAGUUUCGGUUUAUUGGUUGCGGCUUAUGUGGUUUUUUCAGGUUUUUAGUUGCGGUACGGUUGGAAAUGUUGAACAUAGUCGGGAAUCGGUAAGGCUUGGUAUACACGACAUGAGGGUCUCGUAGUGAGGAAGGAGAUGGUUGACUUUCGUGGUGUAUACCAUGAAAGACCAUAGCCAAUAGCUUCUCUUCCUCUCUCUUUCUCUCAUUUCGUUGCAAGUACACCACCAAUGGUGUAAUGGUGUGGAAGGAGAUGACGAUGUGGUGGAGUUGUUUGGCGUGUCCUCAUACCCGAUGGCCUAAUAGAAGCUACUUAGAAGUUGUUUGAUAGUUGUUAGCUAGGUUAGAGCUGACUGAGCUAGAAGCCGAUUGGGUUAGAAGUUAUGAAUUAACUUCUGAUUGAAACUUGAUAUUUGAUUUUGCAUCCGAUUGGUAGUGCAAAAUAACUAUAUUUUUUAUAAUAAUUUCUUUAUGAUUUACCAUUUAACUUAUAACAUUAUAAAAAUAUACAAAGUUAUUGGUUUGAUAUAAAAACAUUCUCGAUUAGCCACACCCAUCAUCCUCUCGCAACUAUUACCACCUUCUUUGAAGGUUAACAACUAUGCAACAUACAACAGUUAGUACCUAAAUUAAACCGAAAUCAGUCCCAAUCUAUGCAUCAACCCACUAAUAUUAAUAACCAAACUAUAUGUAUCACUUACAGUUAGGGCCGGCAAUUCUUGACACGACACGCGACACGAUCCGUGACACGACACGAAAUAAAUGGGUUUGAGCUGAGUUUUUCAACCCGCCAACCCGUUUAUUAAACGGGUCAUAUAUGGGUUUCUCAAAAAAUAAAUGGGUUGACCUGCCAACCCGUUUAUAUUCUUAAUAAAAAAAAUUAUUUUAUUUUUAAAUGUAUUUAUGUAUCAACUAUUAAUAUUUAAUAAGUUUUAUAUAAUAUAUACCAUUGAUUAGACCAUUUGACUGUUUUGAUAUUUUGACUCGUGGUGGAUGGUCUAAGGUUAUAAGUCGUAACCUAUAAGGCUAAGUCUGUAACAUGUUUCUAUGAAUGUUUUUAAUUUUCAUUUGGAUGUUUAAAACUUAAAUGUCUAAAAUUCGGACCCACGAACCCGCCAACCUGUAACCCGUAAAAAUAAAUGGGUUGGUGGGUCAUAUAUGAGUUUAUGUUCCAAACUCGCCAACCCGUUACCCGACAACCCGUGACCUGUAUAUUUAAAUGGGUCGUGUUUGGGUUGACAUAUUUUGACCCGCCAACCUGCGACACGCCAACCCGAACACGACACGAUUGCCAGACCUACUUACAGGAAAUCACAAUUAUACUUGUGAAUGAUUCAUAAACCGGAAACUUUCAUCUUAUAUGUAAUUAAUGUUAAAAGACUAAUUCAAAGCUAAGAAGAUUAGAAGAUUGGAGUGGGAAUUGAUUCACCUUUAGGUAGACUUAUAGUCAUAUGUUGAGUGUUAUCUCUUGUGUACGUAUGUAUAUUUGUUUAAAUAAUAAACCAAACAAACAUAAUCUUGUUGUUUUUUUAACAGUUGGUUAGUGGUUAGAACAACAAUUAAACUUAUCAAUCUAGAACUCAAACUUUAGUCAUUUAAGCUUAACGAACUCCAAGGCACUUUAAAGUCCAAAUUCAAAGAGUAUCCGCCAUUCAAGCAUUAAUACUUAUGAAAUCCUAAGAAAAUUUUCCAAAAUAUGAUUCGUUUAAAAAUGUGCAAUAGAAAACAGUGAUUUUGUGAAAUUAGUUAAUUGAGUGAAAACAGAAGGAUAAGAAGAAACCAAUAGAAUUAGAACAAAUUGACAAGCAGUCGAUAGCAAUCAACAAAGUUGAAAGCGAUUUUGAUUUUGUGAAAUUGACUCAGUCAAUAGCCAACAUCUUGUUAUUAAAAAUUAAAAAAAAAACAAACAAACAAACAAACAAACUCACCUAAGGAAGACGACGGCGCGGAGGAGGAAUUCGACAGCAUCGUCGGCGUUGCUGAAACAGCGAACGGAGUGCCUAAGCGAUGGUGGCCGGUCUCGUUUCAACGGCCAUUUGAGGAAGAAGGAUGGAGUGUAAAUGUUAUCCGGGUAUUAAAGGGCUUUGGUGGCUAAGGAAGAAGAUGGUUGUGAUGUUGAUCAAAGGGAAAAAGGAGCAGAUGAUGGAAAUGAUCUAAUCCAACACUUUUUUUUCUUGGACUGAGUCGGAGGAUUUCAAAAGGUUGUGGAUCUAGUUAGAGGCUAUAUUUGAUAGCAUCAAACACACAAGAAUUAGAUCAUGUCAGCAAAAACUUUUUACUGGACUAUGUCAGAAUUAAAAGACAAUCAAACAACCCUGCAAACAUUGUACAUUAUUGUUGGAAUUGUUUUAUAUCAACAUUUUAAUUUACUAUCAAAUAUUAUUUAUAGCUCAUGAGAAUGAUAUAUUUAUUUUCAACAACAUACUUUCUCUCACUUCAAUUUUAUUAAGAGAACAAUGAUAAAGUUCUAUGUGGUUUGCUAUUCUACUUAGAGUUUAAGAAGUUUUCAAAUAAAAAAUGCCUUUUUUUUAGAAUGUUUUAUUAUAGUUUGGUCUCGUAACUUAAACCGUUAGUGUUAUUAUGUUGAGUGAUGCUAAUAUGACUCUUUUACUUUCAUUUUGUAUUUCUUUUAUGUAACUGAGUGAGCUCAAUUUUUGUCCCACCUUUUCAAGAACAUCCCUAAAUCUAUGCCCCUUUGUAUUCGUUUAAUUGCCUAUGUUGUCAUCGAUGAUUGUAUGGUUCAUAUCAAAUCUAUAAAAUAUUUGUAGGGUUCUCUUUAGAAAAAAAUAAAAUCGAACGAUGAAAUGGAAAGAUAUGAUAACAUUAUUGUAACGACCCAAUUUUCACGACCAAAAAUUUCAUUUUUGUUUAAGUAAUUUGCACAACAUUUGUAUCAAAAUAUCAAUCGAUCAUAUCAUUUAAUAAAAGCAUGUCUCGUAUCUGAAAACCGAAUCGUAAAAACAUAAUAAUGUUAGAGUACAAAUCCCAGAAUAACUCAUAGUGUGGAAAACAAAGAGUGUGCGUAUGAUGUGCCGCUACCGCGCCAGCUCCUUCCCCUUCGCUGAAGAGGUACCUGAAACCAAAACUGUAAACUGUAAACAUGAAGCUUAGUGAGUUCCCCCAUUGUACCACAUACCAUACAAUCACAUAGCAUACAUAAUGUCGGGCAAUUCUGGGGUGCCCGACCUACCCGGUAUGUCCAUUCUGGGGUGCCGACCUACCCGUGUCAAGCUAUUCUGGGGUGCUGACCUACCCGUCGGUCCUAACAACCGACCCUCGGGGACUAAUCCACCCCUAUUGUUGCUAUCACAUAUAUCAUAACAUGAACAUACUAUCAGACAUAUUUGGGGUGUCCGAACUACCCUUCGGUCCUAACAUAUAUCAUAACAUGAACAUAAUGUGUAUGUUCAACACCAACGGUCAAGGGACAGUUACGUUCAGAAAAUGAACUUGUCAGGUUCUGAACCUGAACUGAAAUGUCAUGCCAGGUUCAGAACCUGGCAAUAUGCCAAUAUGUUCUUUGUUGGACUCCUAUCCUAGGGUUGUAAUGAAACAAUAUUUUCAAUGUUUAUACCAUUUGCAAGAUCUAGCAAAAAGUCGGAAGGAUUCAUGGCGACCGAUGGCGAAAAUCCAAUACUGUUAAAAUAAUCCAUAACUUCCGAUCCUUUACCAAAAAACAACGAAUUCCCUUCCGAUAACAACAACACCUUAUGAAACAUGUAAAAAAGCCUACUUGAAGGUUGAUGAAUCGUCAUAACAAUUGUUCUUCCGCCUCUUGCUAACUCCCAUAAAGUCAAAGCAAUCCUUUGAGCAGUUGUUGAAUCAAGCCCAGAUGUUGGCUCAUCCAAGAACAACAAACUAGGGUUUAUAAGCAUUUCUUGCCCGAUACUAACUCUUUUUCUCUCUCCACCCGACACCCCUCUUAAAUUCGGCCCACCGAUGAUAAUAUUCUUGCAUCUUGUUAACCUAAGUUGGUCGAUCACCGCUUCCGCAUGCGUGAUCUUUUCUUGAGUUGUGAGCUUUUUAGGCAAGCGGAGUAAGGCAAUGAAAACAAGGGUUUCGGUGACUGUUAAAUGAGGAUAUAGAAUGUCAUCUUGAGUGACAAAACCGGUGUACCGCUUCAUGAUACUUGAAAACGGUUUGCCAUUGUAGGUGAUGGUCCCGUCUAGCUUGCCACCUAGGCGGCCACCUAAUGCGGUUAAAAGGGUAGUUUUUCCACAUCCGGAUGGCCCUAACAUGGCUAACAUUUCUCCGGGCAACACCAUGCCGGUUAUUCCUUUGAGUAUAUGUUUCUCUGUAGGCUCGUGGUUUUUCUUUCUUUUUAUCCAUCCUUGUUUCUUGUUUUUGAUGGUGUAAACCACUUCUUGAAACUGUUCAAUUAAAUAAUCGGAAUAAUAAGUUUAUAACAUAUAAACACUUUUUUUUUCGAAAAAGGAUGAAAAAUGAACCUUUAGUGUAACCGGAUGAUCGACUUUGUUGAAGAUUGAUGGAGGGGAUGAGGUUUGAGCUGAUGAUUGAGCCUCUAUAUCUACCAUUUGGGUUGCCAUUUGAAUAUUUUUUUUCCUAAUUCUGAUUUACAAAUAAAAAAAUGGUAUAUGUUGUUAUUUACAUACAUACAUACAUGUGAUUCGUUAAUUGUAUGUUGGUGUAUUAUAUAGUAAGAGAACCGAAUUAAGGUGAAAUAAAAGUCAUGCAAUAGAGGUGUGCGGGUUUAUGGCACAUACCCUUGAUUUGGUGUAAGAGAAUAGAGAUGGAGAAGGAAGUCAUGCAAUAGACAUGUGCGUUUAUGAUGUGUUCCCAUGUAUUUGGGAUGAUUUGGUGUGAUAGUUUGUGUUGGGUGAAAUAUUUGUUUGUGUAAACAAAAUGUUUUUUUUUUGAAAGAGAAUGUUUGUUUGUAUUUGAUUCAGCAAUGUUUUUUUUUUAAAUGACAUUCAGUGUCACGUUUUUGUUAUGAUCAAAUGUGUAACAUUUUAUUUGUAACUUGUUUAACGGAUUGAAAUAUGAAUGAAUAAUCUGUCAAGGUAAGUUGCAUAAACUGGGAAAAGAUAAAAACGAAAUACGAUUGCAUAAAUUAUUGGUUAACAAAGUGAAAGAUUGUUGUUGUGUAAGUAUUUGAAAAUGGUAAACCGUGUCCAUGUCACAAGACCCAUCACAUUGGGUGUAAAUCAUAGAACAAAAUUAGCAAUACUUUGCCUUUGGGUAUGUACAACUUUGAAUCAUGGACCUCCUUUAUAGAAUUUCACAUGUAUACUCCAGUUCUCAUCUCAGCUCAGGGGUAAAAUUAAAAUCAUCUUGUCGUUAUUGUGGUUUUUUUAGAACUUAUCUUUUUAUGUUCCAAAUUUUUAUGAUAGUUUUGGAUUUUAAUGUGUUUAGGCUCUAGUUAUUGAUCUUCUGGAUGGUGCUCAAGAAAGAGUUACUAAUUCAUUGUCAUUGCUGAUGCCAUUCUGAUUGAUGUUUCAAGCUAGUAAAGUUCAUUGCUAAAUUUGGUGAUUAGUCAUUGUUCAUUUCUAUUCUUGGUAUGUUGUUUUUUGUUUGGAUUUUAUUGGUAUAAAUCUCAAAAUCCUGCUAAUUGUCUUCUAAUGGUGCUUUGUAUUAGUUCUUUUUUAUUUUAUUUUUAAAUAUUUAAUAUAUUAAUAAGUAAUAAAAAAAUUAUAUAUAAUAUAUGUGAUGCGGUGCAGUUUUUAUUUUUUUAUUUUUUGCGGUUUUUGAAAACUAAAAACUGUACCGCACUGCAAGUUUGUAGUUUUUGAAAAACAGAAAAUCUCACCAUCGUUUCCGUUGCAGUUUCGGUUUAUUGGUUGCGGCUUAUGUGGUUUUUUCAGGUUUUUAGUUGCGGUACGGUUGGAAAUGUUGAACAUAGUCGGGAAUCGGUAAGGCUUGGUAUACACGACAUGAGGGUCUCGUAGUGAGGAAGGAGAUGGUUGACUUUCGUGGUGUAUACCAUGAAAGACCAUAGCCAAUAGCUUCUCUUCCUCACUCUUUCUCUCAUUUCGUUGCAAGUACGCCACCAAUGGUGUAAUGGUGUGGAAGGAGAUGACGAUGUGGUGGAGCUGUUUGGCGUGUCCUCAUACCCGAUGGCCUAAUAGAAGCUACUUAGAAGUUGUUUGAUAGUUGUUAGUUAGGUUAGAGCUGACUGAGCUAAAAGCCAAUUGGGUUAGAAGUUAUGAGUUAACUUCUAAUUGAAACUUGAUGUUUGAUUUUGCAUCUGAUUGGUAGUGCAAAAUAACUAUAUUAUCCUUAGACAACAUUUUUUAUAAUAAUUUCUUUAUGAUUUACCAUUUAA
This 10195-nucleotide long non-coding RNA is filed under the name Lactuca sativa (garden lettuce). RNAcentral's name for it is "long non-coding RNA (LSAT_LNC004849)". Lineage: Eukaryota; Viridiplantae; Streptophyta; Magnoliopsida; Asterales; Asteraceae. The record is from RNAcentral.